GGUUAAGCGACUAAGCGUACACGGUGGAUGCCCUGGCAGUCAGAGGCGAUGAAGGACGUGCUAAUCUGCGAUAAGCGUCGGUAAGGUGAUAUGAACCGUUAUAACCGGCGAUUUCCGAAUGGGGAAACCCAGUGUGAUUCGUCACACUAUCAUUAACUGAAUCCAUAGGUUAAUGAGGCGAACCGGGGGAACUGAAACAUCUAAGUACCCCGAGGAAAAGAAAUCAACCGAGAUUCCCCCAGUAGCGGCGAGCGAACGGGGAGGAGCCCAGAGUCUGAAUCAGUGUGUGUGUUAGUGGAAGCGUCUGGAAAGGCGCGCGAUACAGGGUGACAGCCCCGUACACAAAAAUGCACAUGCUGUGAGCUCGAUGAGUAGGGCGGGACACGUGGUAUCCUGUCUGAAUAUGGGGGGACCAUCCUCCAAGGCUAAAUACUCCUGACUGACCGAUAGUGAACCAGUACCGUGAGGGAAAGGCGAAAAGAACCCCGGCGAGGGGAGUGAAAAAGAACCUGAAACCGUGUACGUACAAGCAGUGGGAGCCUCUUUUAUGGGGUGACUGCGUACCUUUUGUAUAAUGGGUCAGCGACUUAUAUUCUGUAGCAAGGUUAACCGAAUAGGGGAGCCGAAGGGAAACCGAGUCUUAACUGGGCGUUAAGUUGCAGGGUAUAGACCCGAAACCCGGUGAUCUAGCCAUGGGCAGGUUGAAGGUUGGGUAACACUAACUGGAGGACCGAACCGACUAAUGUUGAAAAAUUAGCGGAUGACUUGUGGCUGGGGGUGAAAGGCCAAUCAAACCGGGAGAUAGCUGGUUCUCCCCGAAAGCUAUUUAGGUAGCGCCUCGUGAA
This 845-nucleotide ribosomal RNA is filed under the name Escherichia coli. Its description in RNAcentral is "partial 23S ribosomal RNA". It matches the Rfam family "Bacterial large subunit ribosomal RNA", at positions 1 to 888 of the family's 2925-position model. Lineage: Bacteria; Pseudomonadati; Pseudomonadota; Gammaproteobacteria; Enterobacterales; Enterobacteriaceae. The record is from RNAcentral.